Molecule: ribosomal RNA, 253 nt
Filed under: uncultured bacterium
Lineage: Bacteria
Description: partial 16S ribosomal RNA
Rfam family: Bacterial small subunit ribosomal RNA
Source: RNAcentral
UACGUAGGGGGCAAGCGUUGUCCGGAAUCAUUGGGCGUAAAGCGCGUGUAGGCGGCCCGGUAAGUCCGCUGUGAAAGUCGGGGGCUCAACCCUCGAAUGCCGGUGGAUACUGUCGGGCUAGAGUGCGGAAGAGGCGAGUGGAAUUCCUGGUGUAGCGGUGAAAUGCGCAGAUAUCAGGAGGAACACCAAUUGCGAAGGCAGCUCGCUGGAACGUGACUGACGCUGAGACGCGAAAGCGUGGGGAGCAAACAGG